UACGUAGGUGACCAGCGUUGUCCGGAUUUACUGGGCGUAAAGAGCGCGCAGGCGGUCGUUCAAGUCGAGUGUGAAAGCCCCCGGCUCAACUGGGGAGGGUCACUCGAUACUGAUCGACUGGAAGGCAGGAGAGGGAAGCGGAAUUCCCGGUGUAGUGGUGAAAUGCGUAGAUAUUGGGAGGAACACCAGUGGCGAAGGCGGCUACCUGGACCGGUUCUGACGCUGAGGCGCGAAAGCGUGGGUAGCAAACAGG
RNAcentral lists this ribosomal RNA (253 nucleotides) under uncultured bacterium. RNAcentral describes it as "partial 16S ribosomal RNA". It matches the Rfam family "Bacterial small subunit ribosomal RNA", at positions 524 to 776 of the family's 1533-position model. The record is from RNAcentral.